AAAAUCGCUUAAGCGCCAGAUCCACACAUGGAUGACGAGGAACGGAGUUAUCGAAAAUUCGGCGGAUGCUCCGAAGGUAUCACAGCCUAAGUGCUCUACAAAAAUCAAAAGAAAUUUUGAUUACAAAUCGAGCAAAGUGAGUCUAA
This is a non-coding RNA of Peptoniphilus asaccharolyticus DSM 20463, 146 nucleotides long. The record is from Rfam. NCBI's taxonomy places the organism in Bacteria, Bacillati, Bacillota, Tissierellia, Tissierellales, Peptoniphilaceae.